This 72-nucleotide transfer RNA is filed under the name Elusimicrobiota bacterium. RNAcentral's name for it is "Elusimicrobia bacterium tRNA-Met". It matches the Rfam family "tRNA". From Rfam's summary of the family: Transfer RNA (tRNA) molecules are approximately 80 nucleotides in length. Their secondary structure includes four short double-helical elements and three loops (D, anti-codon, and T loops). Further hydrogen bonds mediate the characteristic L-shaped molecular structure. tRNAs have two regions of fundamental functional importance: the anti-codon, which is responsible for specific mRNA codon recognition, and the 3' end, to which the tRNAs corresponding amino acid is attached (by aminoacyl-tRNA synthetases). tRNAs cope with the degeneracy of the genetic code in two manners: having more than one tRNA (with a specific anti-codon) for a particular amino acid; and 'wobble' base-pairing, i.e. permitting non-standard base-pairing at the 3rd anti-codon position. Lineage: Bacteria; Pseudomonadati; Elusimicrobiota. The record is from RNAcentral.
GGCGCCGUCGCCUAGCGGACAUGGCACCGGUCUCAUAAGCCGGUCGCGGUGGUUCGACUCCACCCGGCGCCC